Molecule: transfer RNA, 74 nt
Filed under: Anaerolineae bacterium
Lineage: Bacteria; Bacillati; Chloroflexota; Anaerolineae
Description: tRNA-Gln
Rfam family: tRNA
About the family: Transfer RNA (tRNA) molecules are approximately 80 nucleotides in length.
Source: RNAcentral
UGGGAGAUAGUUUAAAGGCAGAACAACGGCCUUUGGAGCCGUAUGUCCUGGUUCGAGUCCAGGUCUCCCAGCCA